CAAGAACAGAGAGUCAAAGUGUGAGGGAUGGAAAGUUGGCAAAGCGCAAACGAUGUGAUAUUCACUCCUCGGGCACUAUGGAACGCUUCUGUGAGAUCCGCCGGAGAAACAAAAUUUGACUCCAAUCAAAUCAACAAUUCAGCAGUCAGGGAGGUCAGACCCUUUAAGAAAAACUCAAGCUGAUAUUAAAGAGACAUUGAGAAAUCAAGCCCCAUGAACUAAAAACAACCUAUAGAGGGCACUAACAUCUUCAUACUGUUAAAUAUUCCAGAUCAAACAGGUACAAUUUCAAAACAUCCUAAUCAAAUUAGUUUUCAGUCACUAAGUUGUCAGUCUUCUUUUGAAAAACAAAUUUUACUGCAGCUAUUGUUAUAAUAAAUAUGUGAUAUGGUAAAAUGCACUAUUGAAGUUCUAUAUAGAACUUUAAAUGGUUCUUUCAGGCACUUCAUAUCAUGGGAUCAUCAAUUUAGAUCAUUUUAAUUCAAUUUUAAUUGUAAUUAAAUUAUGAAUUAAACAGCUUGUAAACAUACUUUAUCGCUAGAAAAAAAUGAAAUAACCGUUAAACAUGAAAGUAUUAUGCAAUCAUUUAAGAAAUUUCUCCUUAUAUAGAACCUCUUUGGCAUAAAGUGUUCUUUAAAAUUGAGUCAAGAACCUUAGGGUUCUAUAUAGAACCCCAUUGAAACUUUUUUCCCCUAAGAGUGUGGUAUUAGCGUUCAUGGGUGUCAAAAUAAAUUAAAAUGACAAAGCUUUUGAAAAUUAGAAGAAGAUGCCCUAUUAUUAUUUAUUUAUUAUAAUUUUGCAGUUUAAGAAUGUAUAUAAUAACAAUAAAAUAAAAAUGAAAUGGAUAUAUGUACAUUAUAGUCUCAAAAAAUAUAUAAAAGGAACAGGAACAUGUUGCACACAUGCAAAUGCAAAGUUAACUUGCUAAUGAGAAAUUUUAAUGGUCAUAAAUAUUUAUAUUAUUAAAUAAUUAUAUUUAAAUUUCAAUAUUUAUAUUACACAUGUCAAAUGCAAUAUAAAUUAGGGGUGUGACGAGAUCUCGUGCCACGAUCUUGCGAUAUUAAAAUGUGACGAGAUUUCUCAUCGAGGUGAAAAGCUGUCUCGUAAUAUCACCAUGAUGGACAAUGAGGAUGAAAUUAGCAUAGAAUAUGCCACUGCUGUCGUUUUGAUUUUUUUUAUAGAAAUAAAAAACAUUUAAUUCAGUUGUACAACGCUCGCUUCAAUUGUAAACUAUUGUAAAUGUUUGCUCUGCUCAUCCAGCACGAGCUGCAAAGUCGCACACAGUGCAGCAGGAAUCAGAGUUCACUGAUCAUGCAACGAGAGAUUUGUUGCACAACAGAGCCUAAGCGUCUGAUAAAUGUCUUAUCUUGUAGAAUGAAUGCUCAGCACUGCCGCUCCCUAUACACAGAGUUUGCGCGAUUGCGAAUUCGAUUUGCGAAAGUAAAACGCAAACUCCCUGAUAUGUGCAAAUUAGGCUACAUACAAUAGCCUGUCUCCCAAUAUCAAACCUAUCUUAGGCUGGGCUGUGUAGUUGUAACCAUCUCUUAGCUCUGGUCUCUUAUUAGGUUUUUACAGCAGAAAAAAAAAACAACAAAAAAAGUAAAAAUACUAAAAUGGGUAUAUAACCAUCUCAAAUAAAAAAUAAAGAUAAAAAAAGAAAAUGACAGUUUUCUUUGCA
Long non-coding RNA from Ctenopharyngodon idella (grass carp), 1678 nucleotides. RefSeq lists it as uncharacterized. NCBI's taxonomy places the organism in Eukaryota, Metazoa, Chordata, Actinopteri, Cypriniformes, Xenocyprididae. The transcript has 2 exons. The record is from RefSeq and is a predicted model, not a curated record.